Phoenix dactylifera (date palm) is the source of this 1650-nucleotide non-coding RNA. The record is from RefSeq and is a predicted model, not a curated record. Lineage: Eukaryota; Viridiplantae; Streptophyta; Magnoliopsida; Arecales; Arecaceae.
CUACCCUCUUAGCCGUUACUACUUCGGCUCGAAAGACGCGAUCCCAGAGAAAGACGACUCCUUGGCCGACAGGAUCCAGCGGUUGAAAGCCAGUUGUGGUUCGUUUGCUGUUGGUAUUCAGCUAUGCUGCUCAUGGGAUGAGGACUUGCGUCGAAGGGGUUCUUCUGGUCGAAUUGUUUCAACACCCUCAUGUUUUAUUGUUGCAAGUGAAAAACUCAUUCUUUAAGCUUCCUGGAGGCCGUCUGAGACCUGGUGAAUCAGGUUAGUGCUAAUUAUUUGGGACUUUAUAUUCUAUCACAAUAGAUUUAUUUAGAAUGGUACAUAUUAAAUCCCAAUGCCUAAAGAGGGUAUUCUAACGCACAGCUAGUCCAUCUGUAUAAUAUUCCAUAUAUGAGUGACGAUGCAAGGGUGGGUUUCAGUGCGACGGUAAGGUUGCUAUAUUAUGACCUAGGGUUAUAGAUUCGAAGCACGAAAAUAGCCUUUCCACACGUAGGAGUAAGGCUGCAUAUAUUUUACCCUCCCUAAACCCUACAGUGGUAGGAGCGGGACACCUUUUUUUAUGGGUGAGGAUAUAGCUUAAAAGCCUUCAAUCCAUGUGAAAAGAGGAGGCAGGAGUAUGGAAGGUCAGAGAGUGUUGUCGUAAUCGCUGUGAUAUCCCUGUUUGGAUGGGGUUGGAGAGGGCCGCCACUUGCAUGUUAUAUGAGUACCUCCAAUAUGUCGUCCAUGUUUAUAUCCUAACUAUGUUUGGAUAUGUAACUGAUAUCUUAUGCAACCUUUGAAACACCCAUAAAGUUUUAAGAUACAAGUCAGUUACCGCGCCUGUGGUUCAUAUGCUGGCAUGGUGAAGUGUUUCUAUCUGAAACCUUUUGCAUAGUUUGUACAUCGUUUUGUUUUGAAGGCUGAAAACCUAGGAAGAUGCACACAAGUUUUAUCUAUUAACCACUAGCAAAGCCAGCCUUUUCAGAUGCAUUGAGAUUGAAAAAGCUUCCUCAGGAUCUUCUGCAACUACAGAAGUGAAAAUGAAGCUGCCAAUUUCAAAUUCAUGAUAAUAUUGACACUGAGGAAGAUCGAUGUGGAAUUCUUUUUAGAUAUUGAAGGAUUGAAACGCAAGCUAUCAAGAAAGCUCUCCCUUGAUGAAAGCUGCAUAAAUGAUGAGUGGCAGGUAGACGAAUGCAUAGGAAUUUGGUGGAGGUCUGAGUUCGAGACUCUACCAUUUCCAUAUUUGCCACCUAAUACACGCAGACCUAAGGAAUGCACAAAGCUUUUCUUGGUUAGGCUGCCUAGGACCCGGCAAUUUGUUGUACCGAAAAAUUUGAAGCUGCUUGCAGUUCCAUUGUGCCAGAUGCAUGAUAAUUCGAAGACAUACGGUCCUAUAAUCUCUGGAAUUCCGCACCACCUAUCGAAAUUCUCCUUCAACACCAUCCAUGAUUGAAGCAGUGCUAAUAACAUCGGUCUGUGGGUGUAUGGAGUGUAUGAGUGAAUUGCUCGUGUACAGAGGAGGAGAUACUGGGCCAAAGAUCUGCACCUCUUUUGUUGAUUGCCAUAUGUUAACUAUAGAAGACUUCAUACUGUUUUGUGGUGUAGAACAAUUGAGUACUUUAAACUGUUAUGACCGAGACUAUUGUGUUUAUAUACGUACGUAUGGUUCCA